UCAAAGGUCAAAGGGAAAUGUUAGCUGAGUUUGUGGCCCUUGUUUUUAGGGAAGCAACAGAUGUCCUAGAAGCCUCUUCAACUAGUCUGCUUACAUCUUCUUUGCCAGAAGCAAAAUACGGCCCCUUUGACCCACAAAGGAAUCUGGAAAGGAUCUCCCGGAGCAGAGCUGCGGCAGUCUCCGUUGCCUCCCUGCAAUGUCGGAGCAAGAUUACCUCCUGCAGGACACCUGCAGUGAUGCCAGGGCAAUGGAGCAGGCUUCACUUGUCCCCACGGCUCUCACCGGCAGGAGAGAAAACUGAGCCUUGGAGAGGUUUAGGACGUUGCUAAGGACACACCACUGGUAAGGGAUUAAGAUGGUGGAAUAGAAGGAUUGGAGCUCAACUUCUCUCCUAAAAACAACAGUAUUUAUAGCCAAAUGCUGAGCAAUCUUCAACCAAAUGGAAUGGAAACUUUCAAAAAGAUAGCCUACUGCAGAAGACAAAGAGGAGGCCACAUCAAGAGAGCAAAGGUCUCAAAGCCCACAGAAUUGACACAAAUUGUAUGAGGCCACUCAGAGUUGGAAUAGAAGGAUGGACACAACCCCAACAGUACAAGCCCUUCCAUCUAAUGCAUUUCCACAAAGAAGCCAAGUCGAAGGAUGAUUGCUGGUUAUUUUUCUUAUGAAGAUGUGACACUCUUCAGAGCCCUUACCUGCAUAGCUGGUGGGUGGUCCAUUAGAAAGUUCAGACUUAUCUUCAUUAGGCCCCUUUUAAAACCUUCUGAAGACUCUUCACUUCUUAUAAUGUAACAUCCAUGAUUCUUUGCAUGACACACAUGGUCAUCCCUGAUAAAAUGCCAGACUGCUUCAUCUGCUCCAUCUCAGCCUCGACAUUACCUCAUCAGUGAAGUUCCUUGCUUUCUUACAGGUAGCUUGAAGUGUCUCAUCAUUUGCUUUUGUUUAUCCUGUGCUUCUAUCUGAAAUUCCCUGUCUUUCUCUGAUCUCCUAUUUCUUUCUCCAGGAUAAUGCUCAUUCAUCCUUCAUAAGCCAGGCAUGAAUUAUUUCCUAAAUAAAUAAGUGAAUGAAUGGAACAAGCAUCCGAUGUGGCAAAGCAUUAUCAUGAUGUUUCCUACAACCCUUUUAGAGUCUAUGAAUGAGAAGGAGACUCAGAGUGACUGUCCCAUCCUGAAGUAGCCCUGGUGGUACCCAAAUACAGAGUCUUGACUGUAUGAGCUUGUGAUGCCCUCUUGGCUGCUUGUGUAGUAAAUAUCACUGAGAUAUUCAGCCAGAUUUAGUAUCAUCUUUCAUUUAACAGGGGUAAUAAAACCUACAACAAAUGGUAGUUGUGAGGAUCUGAUUAGAUCCUGGGUAUGAAAAUGCUAUACAAAUGUUAAUUGAAAUCAUUCUUUUUAGACUUCCUGCUGUGGUACAAAGAAAUCUGCAGCACCUCUGGAGCUCAAGAAUGCAGGUUCCAUCCUCAGCCCAGCACAGUGGGCUAAUGAUUCCGCAUUGCUGCAGCUGCUGCAUAGGUCACAUCUGUGGCUUGGAUCUGAUCCCUGGCCAGUGAACUCCAUAUAUCUGUGGAGAAG
This 1568-nucleotide long non-coding RNA is filed under the name Sus scrofa (pig). Its description in RNAcentral is "lncRNA (ENSSSCG00040052848.1)". The record is from RNAcentral. Lineage: Eukaryota; Metazoa; Chordata; Mammalia; Artiodactyla; Suidae.